Molecule: ribosomal RNA, 440 nt
Filed under: uncultured bacterium
Lineage: Bacteria
Description: partial 16S ribosomal RNA
Rfam family: Bacterial small subunit ribosomal RNA
Source: RNAcentral
CCUACGGGAGGCAGCAGUAGGGAAUAUUGCACAAUGGGGGAAACCCUGAAGCAGCAACGCCGCGUGGGGGAUGCAGGUUUUAGGAUUGUAAACUCCUUUUGUGCGAGAAGAUAAUGACGGUAUCUCACGAAUUAACACCAGCUAACUCCGUGCCAGCAGCCACGGUACUUCGGAGGGUGCUAGCGUUACUCGGAAUCACUGGGCGUAAAGAGUGCGCAGGCGGUCUUGUAAGUCAGAUGUGAAAUCCUGUAGCUUAACUACAGAACUGCAUUUGACACUAGGCGUCUAGAGUGUGGGAGAGGUAGGUGGAAUGCUUGGUGUAGCGGUAAAAUACGUAGAUAUCAAGAGGAAUACGCAUGGCGAAGGCGACUUACUGGAACAUUACUGACGCUCAUGCACGAAAGCGUGGGGAUCGAACAGGAUUAGAUACCCGGGUAGUC